Molecule: long non-coding RNA, 1009 nt
Organism: Nelumbo nucifera (sacred lotus)
Lineage: Eukaryota; Viridiplantae; Streptophyta; Magnoliopsida; Proteales; Nelumbonaceae
Source: RefSeq, a predicted model, not a curated record
UAGCUCCAUAAACCAGACACAACAAUCUCCUCAACUCUGUUUUCCUCCUUGUAAGAGUAGCAUGUUGGUAAAAGUACACAUCCUUGAGCAACGACGCAUUUACAAUGUAAUAGCAGAACUAUGAAGCCACAAAAGUUUACCUUCAAUUUAUUUGCAUUGCUUCUUAAUGGUACUUCUCUAAAUCAACAUCAAGAUCUUCUGCAAAUGUCUACUCACCACGGUCUCUUCUCCAUCUACAGACCCUUCCAAAUCCACGACCACCACCAUCCCUUCGUUGUCCACUUCUGGGAACACCAUUCGGAUUUCCAAAUCCGCCAUUUGUAGUUGGUAGAACAGCAACAUGCGUCAUAAUAUUAGUUCCUACACUACAGGAAAAAUGAGAAAUAGCGGCAGUUUAGAAGGGGGCUAAAGGCAGGCUGCCACUACAAAUAAUAUUCUAUAGCCGCAGUCAUUUAAAACUGCCGUUAGAGAGUAUAGCGACUGUCGCUAAUAAAUAAUGCGCGAAUUUGGGAUAUUUCCUCCCUCCUAUUUCAUUUUCGAUCCCAUUCUCUUCCCGCCCUCUUUCUCUCUCUUACAGUCGACCUCUCCCCACCGGACGACACCCAAGGACACCAGCCAGCAUGAAUAGAUAAUAAUAUUUCUCUCUCCCUCUCUCUUUUCUACUGUCCAUCACCAGUGGAGUUUGUCUCAGAUUUCCACCAAAUAGCACCAAUUUGCGACUUCAACAUCAGUGGUUGAUUCAAUCUCUUCACCACAACAUUGAACCAACGCCUCGAAGGAUACAUUAAAGGUGUCUUCUAUAUUCAGCAUGAGCAAAGUGACCAGAAAGGGUUAGGGAUGAUUGUUGAAGGUGAUUGCAAAGUGCUUAUCUCAUGGCUCAAUUCUGAGGAAUAACCAUCAUGGAAUUUCAGGGUCUAGCCCCUACUAAUUUUGAUCGGGGCUACAAUCUCUAUUUUCAUUGGCUUCCCAUCAAGCUGAACAUUGUUAUACCUCUUGACAACAGCUAGAG